Small nuclear RNA from Jaculus jaculus (lesser Egyptian jerboa), 104 nucleotides. NCBI's taxonomy places the organism in Eukaryota, Metazoa, Chordata, Mammalia, Rodentia, Dipodidae. The record is from RefSeq and is a predicted model, not a curated record.
GUGCUCACUUCAGCAGCACAUACACUGAAAUUGGAACGAUACAGAGAUUAGCAUGGCCCCUGCGCAAGGAUGACAUGUAAACUUGUGAAGCAUUCCAUAUUAAA